UGCCAGCAGCCGCGGUAAGACAGAGGUGGCAAACGUUAUCCGGAUUUACUGGGCGUAAAGGGUGUCUAGGCGGUUGAGUAUGUCUUCUGUGAAAGCCCCCUGCUUAACGGGGGGAGGCCAGAAGAAACUGCUCAACUAGAGGGUCGGAGGGGGAAGCGGUACUACCAGAGGAGCGGUGAAAUGCGUAGAGACUGGUAGGAACCUCGAUAGCGAAGGCAGCUUCCUGGCCGAUUCCUGACGCUGAAGCACGAAAGCGUGGGGAGCAAACCGGAUUAGAUA
RNAcentral lists this ribosomal RNA (279 nucleotides) under uncultured bacterium. Its description in RNAcentral is "partial 16S ribosomal RNA". It matches the Rfam family "Bacterial small subunit ribosomal RNA", at positions 506 to 784 of the family's 1533-position model. The record is from RNAcentral.